This 253-nucleotide ribosomal RNA is filed under the name uncultured bacterium. RNAcentral's name for it is "partial 16S ribosomal RNA". It matches the Rfam family "Bacterial small subunit ribosomal RNA", at positions 524 to 776 of the family's 1533-position model. The record is from RNAcentral.
UACGGAGGGUGCAAGCGUUGUCCGGAAUCACUGGGCGUAAAGAGCGUGUAGGCGGUUUGGUAGGUCCGCUGUGAAAACUCGAGGCUCAACCUCGAGACGCCGGUGGAAACCAUCAGACUAGAGUCCGGAAGAGGAGAGUGGAAUUCCUGGUGUAGCGGUGAAAUGCGCAGAUAUCAGGAAGAACACCCGUGGCUAAGGCGGCUCUCUAGUACGGUACUGACGCUGAGACGCGAAAGCGUGGGGAGCGAACAGG